RNAcentral lists this ribosomal RNA (459 nucleotides) under uncultured bacterium. RNAcentral's name for it is "partial 16S ribosomal RNA". It matches the Rfam family "Bacterial small subunit ribosomal RNA", at positions 338 to 795 of the family's 1533-position model. The record is from RNAcentral.
CCUACGGGUGACAGCAGUGAGGAAUAUUGGUCAAUGGGCGCGAGCCUGAACCAGCCAAGUCGCGUGAGGGAAGACGGUCCUAUGGAUUGUAAACAUCUUUUGUCGGGGAGCAAAAGACGCCACGUGUGGCGUUCCGAGAGUACCCGAAGAACAAGCAUCGGCUAACUCCGUGCCAGCAGCCGCGGUAAUACGGGGGAUGCGAGCGUUAUCCGGAUUUAUUGGGUUUAAAGGGUGCGCAGGCGGAAAGUCAAGUCAGCGGUAAAAUUGAGGGGCUCAACCUCUUCCAGCAGUUGAAACUGGUUAUCUUGAGUGAGCGAGAGGUAUGCGGAAUGCGUGGUGUAGCGGUGAAAUGCAUAGAUAUCACGAAGAACUCCGAUUGCGAAGGCAGCAUACCGGCGCUCAACUGACGCUCAUGCACGAAAGUGUGGGGAUCGAACAGGAUUAGAUACCCUAGUAGUC